This 58-nucleotide transfer RNA is filed under the name Dollfusiella sp. MZUSP 7992. RNAcentral describes it as "tRNA-Arg". The record is from RNAcentral. Lineage: Eukaryota; Metazoa; Platyhelminthes; Cestoda; Trypanorhyncha; Eutetrarhynchidae.
GAUGUAUUUUUGUUCUAUGUUACGGCCAUAGAUUGGAUUAACUGUUAAUCGUACAUUU